This 270-nucleotide ribosomal RNA is filed under the name uncultured bacterium. RNAcentral describes it as "partial 16S ribosomal RNA". It matches the Rfam family "Bacterial small subunit ribosomal RNA", at positions 524 to 788 of the family's 1533-position model. The record is from RNAcentral.
UACGGAGGGGGCUAGCGUUGUUCGGAAUUACUGGGCGUAAAGCGCACGUAGGCGGCUUUGUAAGUUAGAGGUGAAAGCCCGGGGCUCAACUCCGGAAUUGCCUUUAAGACUGCAUCGCUAGAAUUGUGGAGAGGUAAGUGGAAUUCCGAGUGUAGAGGUGAAAUUCGUAGAUAUUUCGGAAGAACACCAGUGGCGAAGGCGACUUACUGGGACACAUAUUGACGCUGAGGUGCGAAAACGUGGGGGAGCAAACAGGGAUUAAGAAACCCC